GACAGAGGGUGCGAACGUUGCUCGGAAUUACUGGGCGUAAAGCGCGUGUAGGCGGACUAGUAAGUCGAACGUGAAAUCCCCAGGCUCAACCUGGGAACUGCGUCCGAUACUGGCAGGCUUGAAUCCGGGAGAGGGAUGUGGAAUUCCAGGUGUAGCGGUGAAAUGCGUAGAUAUCUGGAGGAACACCGGUGGCGAAGGCGGCAUCCUGGACCGGUAUUGACGCUGAGGCGCGAAAGCUAGGGGAGCAAACGGG
Molecule: ribosomal RNA, 253 nt
Filed under: uncultured bacterium
Lineage: Bacteria
Description: partial 16S ribosomal RNA
Rfam family: Bacterial small subunit ribosomal RNA
Source: RNAcentral